Molecule: ribosomal RNA, 442 nt
Filed under: uncultured bacterium
Lineage: Bacteria
Description: bacterial SSU rRNA
Rfam family: Bacterial small subunit ribosomal RNA
Source: RNAcentral
CCAGACUCCUACGGGAGGCAGCAGUGGGGGAUAUUGCACAAUGGGGGGAACCCUGAUGCAGCGACGCCGCGUGGGUGAAGGAGCGUUUCGGCGCGUAGCCCUAUCGGCAGGGAAGAAGGAGGACGGUACCUGACUAAGAAGCCCCGGCUAACUACGUGCCAGCAGCCGCGGUAAUACGGAGGAUGCGAGCGUUAUCCGGAUUUAUUGGGUUUAAAGGGUGCGCAGGCGGCGAGUUAAGUCAGCGGUAAAAUUGCGGGGCUCACCCCCGACAAGCCGUUGAAACUGGCUUGCUAGAGUGGGCGAGAAGUAUGCGGAAUGCGUGGUGUAGCGGUGAAAUGCAUAGAUAUCACGCAGAACUCCGAUUGCGAAGGCAGCAUACCGGCGCCCAACUGACGCUCAGGCACGAAAGCGUGGGUAUCGAACAGGAUUAGAUACCCCAGUA